Molecule: long non-coding RNA, 1607 nt
Filed under: Equus asinus (donkey)
Lineage: Eukaryota; Metazoa; Chordata; Mammalia; Perissodactyla; Equidae
Description: lncRNA (ENSEASG00005030430.1)
Source: RNAcentral
CGCGCCUGCGCAGUGGCUGGCUGCGCCCUUGCGCUUCCGUCGCCGCGCCAGCUCGGUGGUGCGGGGAUUCCCAGCGCGGGCUCAGCCCCUGGCCGGCCCCGCCCUUGGCUCCGUGCAGCCGGCUCCGGGCCCCUGCGCCGCUCACGCGCACGCGCACCGUGAUCCUCCAGCGUCUGCGGGAGUCUUCGGCGCCGAGGCUCCGAGCAGGUCUUCCGAAGGGUGUCCCGUGGGGCGUCCGGAUGCCGAGCGGCGAGCAAGGGGUGGCUACGGCCCACUCCGAGCCCGUGGCAAGGCGUUUGCAGGCGAAAAGCCAUCUGCCUCUUAAUUUGUGGAUCUCCUUUCAGAAUUUUUUUUCUAAAGGACUUUGAAAUUAUUGUCGGCUUGUCACCGAAGCGUAAACCUCCUGCCUGGAGAUCGGCCUUCUGAGCUUUACAGGUGUUCUCUGUUUAGUUCUUUCUUCCAUUCUAGGUGGGCCCAGCAGGUCUUACUUUCCCAGUUUAGCCGAUUUGGAAACCUCGGCCCAGGGAGGGGAGUUCACACUCCACCCCCGGAUCUAGGGCAGAGUCUAAAACCCGAUUCUCUUCCACGGAAUCCUUCUUUCGGCCCCCGUCGCCCACAGGAUAAAGUACGGGCUCGUCGCGCUCGCGUUGGAGGUCCUCCGUGUUGUGACUAACCUGCAUUGCGAUUGCCUUUAACCAGUCCUACUCUUAUCCAGAAAGCGUCUUUCCCGCCCCAUCUCCUCUUUCCGUCAAUACCCCUUACAACUUCCCGUACCAUUUUUUCUCUCAUUCAAUGGCUGCUUGGUUUCUUGGUACAUUUUAUGGAUCCCACUCCCUGCCUGCCUGUUCCAGACCACAACAGUUGAAAUGCGAGAGAUGGAAGCGGCACCCACCGGGCCCAAAGGCUGGCUUGUUCACAUCUCUUCUACGACUGGCAGCAACGGCAGUCAUCCCGCGGGCACCCGCUGAAAGGAGACUAGCUCCUUUCAUCUCCAGAAGGUCAAACAUCUCAUAAAGCGCUUUUGCAUGUUUGGAGAAAACAGAAGUAACCGAACCUGUCACAAUGCAAGCCUCAAUACCGCAGGAAGGAAACCACACACCGUGAGCCGUGUGGUGUACAGGUGUGCAGGGCAUCAGCAGCCAGCUGUGAGGCCCAGGCCCUGCGCUGGCCUCUGGAGUCGGCCUGACUGAAUUUGGGCCCACUUGGGGUGACACAUCUGGAAAGGGAAACCCCAGCAGCGAAGGGCAGUCAGCAGCGUCCACCAAGAAGGGGACAGGCACCCCUUGGAACAGUGCCUGGACCCCUCUGCGGGCGGAGUGGCACCCCUGCCGGAAACCUGCUGCAGUGCCCCAGCAGGCGACAAGCAGGAAGAGCGCUGCAAGAGGAACCCUCCUGACCUGAUCUGGGCUGCCUUCAAGGCCUUGGUGGGCACCCAGCACUGGCCACUUCUCCCACUGCAGCUGCCCUGGCUCUUCUGAGUGCCAGUGCUUGGGCAUCUGGACUGGUGUGGACGUGGGUGCCUCCGGCAAAGUCUCUCAUUCAGGUUCAGGCUCAGUGUGUGCACCCUACGCAGACUUCACAUGGAACUGAUCAGCUGUGCUGGGCUG